Molecule: unclassified non-coding RNA, 180 nt
Filed under: Arabidopsis thaliana (thale cress)
Lineage: Eukaryota; Viridiplantae; Streptophyta; Magnoliopsida; Brassicales; Brassicaceae
Source: RNAcentral
UCUCUAGUUGUAUCAGAGGGUCUUGCAUGGAAGAAUAGAGAAUGAGGUUGAGCCAAGGAUGACUUGCCGGGUUUUUUUACCAAUGAAUCUAAUUAACUGAUUCUGGUGUCCGGCAAGUUGACCUUGGCUCUGUUUCCUUCUCUUCUUUUGGAUGUCAGACUCCAAGAUAUCUAUCAUCAU